This 494-nucleotide ribosomal RNA is filed under the name uncultured bacterium. RNAcentral describes it as "partial 16S ribosomal RNA". It matches the Rfam family "Bacterial small subunit ribosomal RNA", at positions 28 to 507 of the family's 1533-position model. The record is from RNAcentral.
GACGAACGCUGGCGGCGUGCUUAACACAUGCAAGUCGAACGGUGAGGCGCCUUCCUUUUUGGUGGGUGUGGAGGAGCGGCGAACGGGUGAGUAACACGUGAGCAACCUGCCCCCUUCUUCUGGAUAACCGCAUGAAAGUGCGGCUAAUACGGGAUAUUCUGGGUCUGUCGCAUGAUGGGUCUGGGAAAGAUAUUGUUUCGCUGGGGGAUGGGCUCGCGGACUAUCAGCUUGUUGGUGGGGUGAGGGCCUACCAAGGCGGUGACGAGUAGCCGGCCUGAGAGGAUCGGCGAUCACGGAGGGGCUGCAAGGCCGAGAAGCCUACGGCGGGAAGCAGCAGGGAAGAAUAGUGAACGGUGGGCAGAAGGAUGAUGCAGCGCCGCGGGGGGGGGGAAGGUGGCCGUCGGGUUGUGAACCUCUUUCGGGGAUGAAGCAGGCCUGCCUCGUUUGUGGGUGGGUUGACGGUAGCUGGAUAAGAAGCGCCGGCUAACUACGUG